CAGAGGGAAAUUUUAAGGUGGAACUGACUUUCACUUGGCCAAGGAAGAUUUGAGGUGCUUCUCCUUGGGGCUCCCAAAUGUAGACAUAUCUGCCUAGCCUCUGUUGCUAGUUUCACGAAGGUAUAUAUUCCCUGGGUGUUAUCACCCUACAGUUAUAGGAUAAGUUUAAAAAAAAAAAGAGUAAAUCAUGUUGCCUACUCCAUGCCAGGGGUUUUGCAAAUGUCUGAACUCGUGAAAACCCCCAUAAGGACGAGCAUUAGAAUUCUAAAGAAACAAAGGCUUCAAGAGUCAAGAACAAGGGUUGGAGAGCUGCCAAUGCACCCCUGUCCCAGAAGACGGAAGCUGGGCUUAGCAUGA
This 357-nucleotide long non-coding RNA is filed under the name Mustela putorius furo (domestic ferret). RNAcentral's name for it is "lncRNA (ENSMPUG00000029318.1)". The record is from RNAcentral. Lineage: Eukaryota; Metazoa; Chordata; Mammalia; Carnivora; Mustelidae.